UACGGGGGGAGCAAGCGUUGUUCGGAAUCACUGGGCGUAAAGGGAGUCUAGGCGGUUUGGUAAGUGGGAUGUGAAAUCCCCGGGCUCAACCCGGGAACUGCGUCCGAGACUGGCAGGCUCGAAUCCGGGAGAGGGAUGUGGAAUUCCAGGUGUAGCGGUGAAAUGCGUAGAUAUCUGGAGGAACACCGGUGGCGAAGGCGGCAUCCUGGACCGGUAUUGACGCUGAGGAGCGAAAGCCAGGGGAGCAAACGGG
Molecule: ribosomal RNA, 253 nt
Filed under: uncultured bacterium
Lineage: Bacteria
Description: partial 16S ribosomal RNA
Rfam family: Bacterial small subunit ribosomal RNA
Source: RNAcentral